Molecule: ribosomal RNA, 404 nt
Filed under: Actinomycetes bacterium
Lineage: Bacteria; Bacillati; Actinomycetota; Actinomycetes
Description: Actinobacteria bacterium partial 16S ribosomal RNA
Rfam family: Bacterial small subunit ribosomal RNA
Source: RNAcentral
UGGGGAAUAUUGGACAAUGGGCGCAAGCCUGAUCCAGCCAUGCCGCGUGAGUGAUGAAGGCCCUAGGGUUGUAAAGCUCUUUCACCGGUGAAGAUAAUGACGGUAACCGGAGAAGAAGCCCCGGCUAACUUCGUGCCAGCAGCCGCGGUAAUACGAAGGGGGCUAGCGUUGUUCGGAUUUACUGGGCGUAAAGCGCACGUAGGCGGACUUUUAAGUCAGGGGUGAAAUCCCGGGGCUCAACCCCGGAACUGCCUUUGAUACUGGAAGUCUUGAGUAUGGUAGAGGUGAAUGGAAUUCCGAGUGUAGAGGUGAAAUUCGUAGAUAUUCGGAGGAACACCAGUGGCGAAGGCGGCUCACUGAACCAUUACUGACGCUGAGGUGCGAAAGCAUGGGGAGCAAACAGG